This 2628-nucleotide long non-coding RNA is filed under the name Homo sapiens (human). RNAcentral describes it as "HSALNT0390083". Lineage: Eukaryota; Metazoa; Chordata; Mammalia; Primates; Hominidae. The record is from RNAcentral.
GCCCAGGCUUCAAGACCAAGCAGCAGCUCCUGGGCCAAGCCUCAUCUUGCCCAGUGUGGCCUGUCAAGAUGACGGCCUGGAAGAGAAGCCAGACUGGGCAGCCAGGCCUCUGCCCCUCCCCUUGCCUGGUGGCACAGCCAGCACUGGCUCACUGGUGAGUUGACUAAUUUCCUCCGCCACCAUUAGUUGUCCAUGUUCAUUGCUGCCUGACACCCAACACCAGUCUGCAAGGGCACCAGGAGGGGAUGGAAGAGACAGGGUGUCUGGGGAAGGGUGGGUCUGAGUGCGAGGGGGUGGGUGAGCUUGUCUCAGAGCCUGACGCUGGCUGGUGGUAUCUGCGUUACCCAGGCUGACCCAGCUCUCUCUGAUGCAGACAGGCGAGGGCCUCACACACUUCAGAGAAUUCACACCCACAUGAUGAGGCUGAGAGGAGCAGGACGCACAGACACAUGGCAGGCACCAGGAGAGCCAGGCUGCUCUGCUCUGCUGGCGAUCCAUGUGCUGUCCCCCUCUGUCUCUUGACUUUAUUUUCCAUCAGGAGAGCGCCUCCCUUAUUACCCUUGGGAGGUAAGGGACAAACACAAACACAUGAUGACUAACCUCAGGCCCAACCCCCUGCAGAGAGGGGUCAGGGUUGGGGGCUGUCAAGAACAAGGAGGCACAAGGCACCCAGAACCCGUCUAGUCCAGCCUUUAAACUGUGGGGAGAAUACAGGGAGCUCAGGAGCAAACUCUGAAGGAACCCCUGGGCCUGGGUCUUCUCCGAAAACCCCCGUUCUCUCCUCCAGGGAAAGCUCACAACUCCUCACAGCGAUCUGGUAUCUUGAGCGUCAGUUUCUGGCCGAAACUGGGGGCUCCUGACUGAACUCCCUCCCACCUAGAAAACCUUCUGUGCAGUCUGAUUGCUCCAACACCCACAGAGCAGGAUUCAGGUAUCCCGGAGACCUUGGGAGGUCCCCAUCCAGAGGUCUGCUGUCCUGCCAGGCUUGGGGCAGCAGGGACUGGGACCCCACUCAGACCUCUCUGGGGCAAAUGUUUUGGUUCUCACAACAGCCCUAGUGAAAUCAAUCCUAGAUACUCCCAUUUGGUCCCACCAAGGCCAUUUAAUUUCUCUGUAAAGGGUAAGAUGACACAAAAGAGCCAACUAUGGAAACGGUGAGGUGGGAGUCUGAACCGAUUUAGCUGUUCUCAGGGCGCACAGGGUGUUGACGGUGGUUUUCAUCUGCCACCUGCCUCCUUGAGACCCAGCUGGCCUGAGUGUGCACGAAAUGGGACCUUCUCCUUGGGUCCACCAGGCUGGGAGGCACCCCUAGGUACCCGGCUCCUCAUCACAGCGGCAGCCCUCUCGGUUCCACAUCUGGUUCUCCUGACGAAGCCGCUGGUUUUCGGUCCGGAGCCUCUGGACCUCGGCAGCCAGCUCCUCCACCUGGCGGCAGGACUGCUGGCCGGUGCACGCCUGCAGCUGCUGCAGCCUCCUAGUCUCCUCCUCCGCCUGCGACAGCCGCUUCUCCAGCUCCAGGUAGUCUCGCACCAGCUCCUGCUUGCUGCGGCCCUGCAGGCUCUCGGUGUGGAAGCGUUCGUAAGUCUCAGAGAAGUCCUUCCGCUGGAACUCACCGUGCGCUCGGCCCCGCCCAUCACUGUCCCCGGCCUCACUCUCCCCACUGGAACCUGGGUGGGAGAUCCCAUGGGGCACAUCCAAGUUGGGCUCCUCCGGGUCCCUGUCAUUCAUCAGGAACUGGGUGGUGUUGUAGGGGGCCACGGGCUGGCCUUUGGCGAACAUCUCUUCGCGGACCCGGGAGGCCCUCUGGCUCUGCCUCUCAUCCCGCUGUUGUUUCUCAGCCCAGCUCAGCUCCAGGUAGGGUCGCCAGUGCCUUUUGCGCUUCGAUGGCCGCCGACGGUGUUUCUUCCGGGCCAGCACAGCCUCCGCUGAGCAGCCCCCUGGGCUCUGGGUCCGGGGACUCCUACUGUUCCAGCCCAGGCCACCGACAGCCCCAGCAAGAUCUUCAUCCUCUGAGUGGCUCUCCAUCCGCGGUGUCAGGGGCAGGGAACCACCAGAGUCAUGACGCUCAGGGGGUGUUUGGGGGCUCCCCGGGGCACCAGAGGUCUAAAGAGAGGGAGGAGGAAGAAGGAUGGAUCAGACAGCCUGUCCUUGGAGGUGGAACCUUUCCCUCUCUACCUAGCCUGAAGCCUACCUUCCUACACUCAGCUAACUUGGUCACUCUUAGCCCCUCAACCUUUUGGAACCAUUUGUUUACAAAGAGACCUGUCUACUGUCUGUCCCCCAACCUUCCCCAAGUAAACUCAUGGUGAGAGCAGGAAUUUUGCCUGUGUGUUUCACUCUGUAAUUUCAAUGCCUAGAAUAAUACCUGGCACUGAGUAGGAGUUCCAUAAAUACUGUCCAAAUGAGUAAAGUAGGAGAAGAAGAAAACUGGGAUAGAAGGUGGAUCUUGAUGCAUUUGCUUGAUCAGAAGCCCAAAUGGCACCGGCUCUUCCCUCUUCCCAGAAAACCUGACUUUCAAACACCACUGGCUUCAUGGGCAGGUGACCUGUGAAGUCCCACAGAGGCCCCACACCUGGCUUCAUGCUGUCCUUCUCUUAAACAUGUUAUUCAAAAAAAAAAAAAACCUUA